GGGUAUCAUUGCUAGAUGGUCACUUCGAUUAGUACAGAAAUUGGUUCCUGUGCUACCAGCUUAGGUUCGAACCUGUGGGGUCACACACAUUAGAGGUUUCUAUCUGAUCUGAUGGCUGAUGAAGAGUCCUAAUGCUCAUGGACUAUGAGUCCUAUGUGUCUGGAACUCUGUGAUCGAGAAUCAAGAUUCUCUGAUCAUG
This 199-nucleotide long non-coding RNA is filed under the name Elaeis guineensis (African oil palm). RNAcentral's name for it is "long non-coding RNA (EGUI_LNC066366)". The record is from RNAcentral. Lineage: Eukaryota; Viridiplantae; Streptophyta; Magnoliopsida; Arecales; Arecaceae.